UACAGAGGGGGCAAGCGUUGUUCGGAUUUAUUGGCGUAAAGCGCGUGUAGGCGGCCAGGUAGGUCCGCUGUGAAAACUCGAGGCUCAACCUCGAGACGUCGGCGGAAACCAUCUGGCUAGAGUCCGGGAGGGGCGAGUGGAAUUCCUGGUGUAGCGGUGAAAUGCGCAGAUAUCAGGAGGAACACCAAUGGCGAAGGCAGCUCGCUGGAACGGAACUGACGCUGAGGCGCGAAAGCGUGGGGAGCGAACAGG
Molecule: ribosomal RNA, 252 nt
Filed under: uncultured bacterium
Lineage: Bacteria
Description: partial 16S ribosomal RNA
Rfam family: Bacterial small subunit ribosomal RNA
Source: RNAcentral